UUUCUAGCCAAGACAUCGUCGAAGCUUGAGGAAAAGCUGCACAAAUGGGAAAAGGAACAGGAAGUUUCGGUAAGAGGAGGAACAAGACACACACACUGUGUGUUAGAUGUGGUCGACGUAGCUUCCACAUCCAGAAGAGUCGUUGUUCAGCUUGUGCUUACCCUGCUGCUCGUCUCAGAAAAUAUAAUUGGAGUGUCAAGGCACUUAGAAGGAAGACCACUGGAACUGGUCGCAUGAGGUAUCUCCGCAAUGUUCCCCGCAGGUUUAAGACAAACUUCAGAGAAGGAACUGAAGCAGCUCCAAGGAAGAAG
RNAcentral lists this unclassified non-coding RNA (311 nucleotides) under Hevea brasiliensis (rubber tree). Lineage: Eukaryota; Viridiplantae; Streptophyta; Magnoliopsida; Malpighiales; Euphorbiaceae. The record is from RNAcentral.